Molecule: ribosomal RNA, 253 nt
Filed under: uncultured bacterium
Lineage: Bacteria
Description: partial 16S ribosomal RNA
Rfam family: Bacterial small subunit ribosomal RNA
Source: RNAcentral
UACGUAGGUGGCAAGCGUUGUCCGGAAUUAUUGGGCGUAAAGCGCGCGCAGGCGGCCUCUUAAGUCUGAUGUGAAAGCCCCCGGCUCAACCGGGGAGGGCCAUUGGAAACUGGGAGGCUUGAGUAUAGGAGAGAAGAGUGGAAUUCCACGUGUAGCGGUGAAAUGCGUAGAGAUGUGGAGGAACACCAGUGGCGAAGGCGACUCUUUGGCCUAUAACUGACGCUGAGGAGCGAAAGCGUGGGGAGCGAACAGG